AAAUUUCUGGUCUAUGCGCUACUAACAAAGAAUUUUUGAGCUUUACUCUUUUUUAAUGGGGUUAUCCCUUUAUAAAUUGUCUCAGGAAAAUCACGACUGCAUAAUGUUUUGUACGGAUUCUGUACAGUCUAUAAAUAUGACUACCACCUGUAACGUUUUACAGGCAAUCAAAAAUUAAGUUAGAACGGUAGAUCGGAUUUUUU
This is a non-coding RNA of Leptotrichia buccalis, 203 nucleotides long. The record is from Rfam. NCBI's taxonomy places the organism in Bacteria, Fusobacteriati, Fusobacteriota, Fusobacteriia, Fusobacteriales, Leptotrichiaceae.